RNAcentral lists this transfer RNA (71 nucleotides) under Marmota monax (woodchuck). RNAcentral's name for it is "tRNA.Ala". Lineage: Eukaryota; Metazoa; Chordata; Mammalia; Rodentia; Sciuridae. The record is from RNAcentral.
GGGGUUGUAGCUCAGGGGUGGAGUGCUCGCCUAGCAUGUGCGAGGCCCUGGGUUUAAUCCUCAGCACCACA